AGCUUGCCGAAAAAGUGGAGAGCAUCCCGUGAUGGUGGAGAGUAUCCUGCGACGGUGGAGAGCAACCCGCAAUGGCAGAGAGCUGAAGCCACAAGACGGUAAGGAGAAAUGAGAAAUGAGUAGUGGUGGUGUGAAACUGAGAUGGUAAAGAAAAAUGAGGAGAAAUGAGCGUGUUUGCCCAUUAUAUUGACACUGGAGGCGGAAUUUGGGCGGGAAAUUUCCCGCUCUUUUUACCGACGGCCCAAAGCCUUCGGUAAAUCCGUCGGUAAGUGACAUUAAAGUUACCGACGGGCAUGAGCCUUCGGUAAAUCCGUCGGUAAUGUCGGUAAGUGAAAUAAUGGGCG
This 344-nucleotide long non-coding RNA is filed under the name Vigna radiata. Its description in RNAcentral is "long non-coding RNA (VRAD_LNC009863)". The record is from RNAcentral. Lineage: Eukaryota; Viridiplantae; Streptophyta; Magnoliopsida; Fabales; Fabaceae.